RNAcentral lists this transfer RNA (104 nucleotides) under Promethearchaeota archaeon. RNAcentral's name for it is "Candidatus Lokiarchaeota archaeon (marine sediment metagenome) tRNA-Trp". It matches the Rfam family "tRNA". From Rfam's summary of the family: Transfer RNA (tRNA) molecules are approximately 80 nucleotides in length. Their secondary structure includes four short double-helical elements and three loops (D, anti-codon, and T loops). Lineage: Archaea; Promethearchaeati; Promethearchaeota. The record is from RNAcentral.
GGGGACUUGGUGUAGCCCGGUGGCACAGCAGGCUCCAGACCUGUUAAUCGGGGGUUCAAAAUUAAGCUUGAUAUCCAAGCUUUUUGGAUUUCCCUCAGUCCCCA